UCCCUGUGUGCUCUUCUCUUUUAGGGUGUUGGCAAACCUUAUGGAAACUGGAACCAGGUUUGUGUGG
Molecule: microRNA precursor, 67 nt
Organism: Monodelphis domestica (gray short-tailed opossum)
Lineage: Eukaryota; Metazoa; Chordata; Mammalia; Didelphimorphia; Didelphidae
Source: Ensembl